This 112-nucleotide non-coding RNA is filed under the name pig gut metagenome. RNAcentral describes it as "FMN riboswitch (RFN element)". It matches the Rfam family "FMN riboswitch aptamer (RFN element)". Rfam says of the family: The RFN element is a highly conserved domain that is found frequently in the 5'-untranslated regions of prokaryotic mRNAs that encode for flavin mononucleotide (FMN) biosynthesis and transport proteins. This element is a metabolite-dependent riboswitch that directly binds FMN in the absence of proteins. In Bacillus subtilis, the riboswitch most likely controls gene expression by causing premature transcription termination within the 5' untranslated region of the ribDEAHT operon and precluding access to the ribosome-binding site of ypaA mRNA. The record is from RNAcentral.
GGUCUUCGAGGCGGGGUGAAAUUCCCCACCGGCGGUACAGUCCGCAAGCGGUUUUCCGCAUGAGCCGGCGAAAUUCCGGCACCGACGGUCACAGUCCGGAUGAGAGAAGAUG